Molecule: ribosomal RNA, 253 nt
Filed under: uncultured bacterium
Lineage: Bacteria
Description: partial 16S ribosomal RNA
Rfam family: Bacterial small subunit ribosomal RNA
Source: RNAcentral
UACGAAGGGGGCUAGCGUUGUUCGGAAUUACUGGGCGUAAAGGGCGCGUAGGCGGCGCGUUAAGUCAGAUGUGAAAGCCCUGGGCUCAACCCAGGAAUUGCAUUUGAUACUGACGUGCUUGAAUCCGGAAGAGGAUGACGGAAUUCCCAGUGUAGAGGUGAAAUUCAUUGAUAUUGGGAAGAACACCAGUGGCGAAGGCGGUCAUCUGGUCCGGUAUUGACGCUGAGGCGCGAAAGCGUGGGGAGCAAACAGG